CCCUUAGAUGUUCUGGGCCGCACGCGUGCUACACUGAACGGUUCAAUGGGUAAGGUAGUGCGAAAGCAUGACCUAAUCUCGAAAUCCGUUCGUGCUGGGGAUAGAAGCUUGCAAUUAUCCUUCUUGAACGAGGAAUACCUUGUAAGCGUGAGUCAUCAUCUCACGCUGAAUACGUCCCUGCCCUUUGUACACACCGCCCGUCGCUCCUACCGAUUGAGUGUUCCGGUGAGGCUUUGGGAGAAUGGCCUCAACAUGAGUUUAUCGUGUUUUGCCGUUUGAGCUUAGUCAAACCUUAUCACUUAGAGGAAGGAGAAGUCGUAACA
Molecule: ribosomal RNA, 323 nt
Filed under: uncultured eukaryote
Lineage: Eukaryota
Description: partial 18S ribosomal RNA
Rfam family: Eukaryotic small subunit ribosomal RNA
Source: RNAcentral